Molecule: long non-coding RNA, 1149 nt
Filed under: Homo sapiens (human)
Lineage: Eukaryota; Metazoa; Chordata; Mammalia; Primates; Hominidae
Description: HSALNT0111960
Source: RNAcentral
UUUGACACAGCAUCUUUUCCACAGUGGAGUUAGGAACAGACUAUAAGAAAUGGUUGGUCUGGAGGAAAAAGGGUAAAACUUAUGAUAGAAAUGGAAGUUUCUGCUGUUUAUAAACUGGAAAUAAUGAUACAUGUCCUGACUCCUAUUGGGUUGUUGCAAAGGAAUCAAUUGAAAUAAGACAAGACUUUCUGAAGGCACUUUGCCAACUUUCAGAACUGUAAAGAUUAAGGGACUGCUACUAUGUGCUGCUCAGGAAAUAACAGGCACCUGGGAAAACCCACGAAGUAAGGUUUUGUAAGAAGUUGCUCUGCUCCCUGGGAGAAAACGCGGAGCUCAACACUGCCAAGAGGAACAAGUCUGGGAAAUUACGACAUGACAGAGUUCCUUUAGUAGAUGACUUCUAUCAUGACAAGCAAGCUAAAAACGUGCACUGCAGCAGCACCGGGACUUGACAGCCCUACGGCUCGAUCAGCUUUCUGUUUUCAUUGCCUUACGAUGCCAUGAGUGGAACUAUUGUCAAAUCAGAGUUCACUCCCCAGCUUUUCAGUCUUUCCCCUAAUUCUUGCUCUAUCAGAGGUCGAGGACAACAGUAUAAUGAUUCAUAGGUUCUACUUCCUGGCAAGUAAUCAUUUUCCCACGGGCCCUUGUGAAUUGAUGAAUAUGAAGACACUAAGAAAGCAGAAAUAGAACUGAGAAGAAUGAAAUAACUGUCUCUACCUUUCUCGAAUUGUCUAAUAUGGAAAGAAUGAAAGACAGCUAAUAAGCAACUCUCUGCAAGAAGACAUAUGGCUUAGGUUCUGCUGAGCUAUUGGUGAUUUGAUUCCAUGCAUAUGUAUUCACUACUGCAGGCCUAGGAAAACACCAGGACUAACCCCCUGGAGGGAGCCUAGCUUCAGGAUUAAUUAGGGCUUGAUUAAUUAAUUAAGGUAUGAAUCGAGGGCUUAAACAGUAGUUAACUAAGAAAUAUGUAUUUGUUUUACAAAAGUUAAAAUUGAGAUGGGAUCUUGCUAUGUGGCCCAGGCUGGCCUCAAACUCCUGAAUCUACUUGGAGAGAGUCAAACACAGAAUCCCUUUGAAUUUAAUGGCCAUUCCAGGUGAUUUGAACAGCCAAAUAAGAAACAGGUCCUCUUCAAUGUACAAUCUGCCAAG